RNAcentral lists this ribosomal RNA (509 nucleotides) under uncultured bacterium. RNAcentral describes it as "partial 16S ribosomal RNA". It matches the Rfam family "Bacterial small subunit ribosomal RNA", at positions 28 to 506 of the family's 1533-position model. The record is from RNAcentral.
GACGAACGCUGGCGGCGUGCUUAACACAUGCAAGUCGAACGAAGAGCGAUGGAAGCUUGCUUCUAUCAAUCUUAGUGGCGAACGGGUGAGUAACGCGUAAUCAACCUGCCCUUCAGAGGGGGACAACAGUUGGAAACGACUGCUAAUACCGCAUACGAUCUAAUCUCGGCAUCGAGGAUAGAUGAAAGGUGGCCUCUACACGUAAGCUAUCACUGAAGGAGGGGAGUGCGUCUGAUUAGCUAGUUGGAGGGGUAACGGCCCACCAAGGCGAUGAUCAGUAGCCGGUCUGAGAGGAUGAACGGCCACAUUGGGACUGAGACACGGCCCAGACUCCUACGGGAGGCAGCAGUGGGGAAUCUUGGGCAAUGGACGAAAGUCUGACGGAGCAACGCCGCGUGAGUGAUGACGGCCUUCGGGUUGUAAAGCUCUGUUAAUCGGGGCGAAAGGCCUUCUUGCGAAUAGUGAGAAGGAUUGACGGUACCGGAAUAGAAAGCCACGGCUAACUACGU